RNAcentral lists this ribosomal RNA (454 nucleotides) under uncultured Prevotellaceae bacterium. Its description in RNAcentral is "bacterial SSU rRNA". It matches the Rfam family "Bacterial small subunit ribosomal RNA", at positions 341 to 792 of the family's 1533-position model. The record is from RNAcentral. Lineage: Bacteria; Pseudomonadati; Bacteroidota; Bacteroidia; Bacteroidales; Prevotellaceae.
ACGGGAGGCAGCAGUGAGGAAUAUUGGUCAAUGGACGUAAGUCUGAACCAGCCAAGUAGCGUGCAGGAUGACGGCCCUAUGGGUUGUAAACUGCUUUUGUGCGUGAUUAAAGUGCGGCACGCGUGCCGUAUUGCAGUUAGCGCACGAAUAAGGACCGGCUAAUUCCGUGCCAGCAGCCGCGGUAAUACGGAAGGUCCUGGUGUUAUCCGGAUUUAUUGGGUUUAAAGGGAGCGUAGGCCGUCGGUUAAGCGUGUUGUGAAAUCCAGGGGCUCAACCCCUGGCCUGCAGCGCGAACUGGCUGACUUGAGUACACGCAAGGCAGGCGGAAUUUGUGGUGUAGCGGUGAAAUGCUUAGAUAUCACGAAGAACCCCGAUUGCGAAGGCAGCUUGCCGGAGUGUGACUGACGCUGAAGCUCGAAGGUGCGGGUAUCGAACAGGAUUAGAUACCCUGGUA